RNAcentral lists this ribosomal RNA (467 nucleotides) under Wickerhamomyces silvicola. RNAcentral's name for it is "eukaryotic LSU rRNA". It matches the Rfam family "Eukaryotic large subunit ribosomal RNA", at positions 143 to 613 of the family's 3401-position model. Lineage: Eukaryota; Fungi; Ascomycota; Saccharomycetes; Phaffomycetales; Wickerhamomycetaceae. The record is from RNAcentral.
UUGUAAUUUGAAGAUAUUUCUUUGGAGUUGGCCCUUGUCUAUGUUCCUUGGAACAGGACGUCAUAGAGGGUGAGAAUCCCGUCUGAUGGGGUGUCCAACUCUUUGUAAAGUUUUAUCGAAGAGUCGAGUUGUUUGGGAAUGCAGCUCUAAGUGGGUGGUAAAUUCCAUCUAAAGCUAAAUAUUGGCGAGAGACCGAUAGCGAACAAGUACAGUGAUGGAAAGAUGAAAAGAACUUUGAAAAGAGAGUGAAAAAGUACGUGAAAUUGUUGAAAGGGAAGGAUAUUAGAUCAGACUUGGUGUUUUACGAUUAUCUUCCCUUCUUGGGUUGUGCACUCGUGCUACACUGGGCCAGCAUCGAUUCGGACGGUAAGAUAAUGACUUAGGAACGUGGCACUCCUUCGGGAGUGUGUUAUAGCCUGUGUUGAUGUUGCCUGUCUGGAUCGAGGACUGCGUCUUUUGACUAGGAU